AAAGAGGUUAGUUUUGUGUUUGACUUUAAGUUAUAGGUCAAUUCUGCAAAAAGCCCUAAAUUAAAAUAUUGAAACUAUGGUUAGGCGAUAGUUUUGAACCAAAAAACAAUAUUAUAUCUAAUAUUUACAUUUAAUUUAUAAAAUUAUGAUUAAUUAAAAUAGAAAUUUUAAAUAAAAUUAUAUUACAUGAUCAACACUUAAAAAAAAUCAUGAAAUAAAAAUAACAACAAAUUACCUUCUCUAUUUUUAGUUUCAUAUAGCUAAAAUUUAUUUUACAAAAACUUUAUCUCCAAGAUAUAAUGGAAAAAAUUUUAAAACUAAAAUUAUCCAUUUUUUAACUGUCUAAAAUUAUCCAUUUAUAUUAAUAAUUUAAGCACAAACAGUAAAAGAAAAUCAGUUAAAAUUGGUCAAACAGAUAACUUUUAAAAUAAAAUAAAAUACUAUAUUUCUUUCUUACAAAAUUUUCAUUCACAUUUUCCACACAAAUUAAAAUAUGAUUUAAAUUCAUGUUUAUCCCUAAUAAUUACUUCUGUUUAACUAAUAUUCAUUGAGAUAUUAAAGUAUUUUUAAGAUUACAAUCAUUUUUUACAAUAAAUACUAAGGUUAAAAUAGGUAAAACCUUUAAAAUUAUAUUGAAAUUAGAAAAUGACAUAAUUUGUGUAAUAAGAAUAAAAAUAUCAACCAAUGCCAUUUAUGAAACAAAAUUUACAUACACGUAUAAAUUGGAUAUGUAAUCAUAAAAAUUUUAUUAGGUUCAAACAUAAUACUCAAAAUCUUAAUUAACUCUUUAACAUUAUGAACAACUUCAAAGGAAAGAUAAGUGUCAAGUUCAAUACAUGAGUUAGAACUACACCUUCUAUCUACGGCUGAGAAGAUAAUAAUCAAGGAAACACAGCUAAAAACAACUUCGCGACAUCAUAUGUGCUGUUUUUGUAUUCUAAACUCAGUUUUGAUAUUUUAGUAAACUAAUAAAAAAAAUCAUUACAAAAAAAUGCAAGAAAAAAUAUAUGCAACAUUCAAACAAAAAAAAAAAAGCAGAGCAUAUCUACCUUCAUAUACUAUGCCCUACAUAAUACAUAGCUUAUAUACAUAAAAAUUAUGCAUUAUUUUAUUUUCACACCACAAAAUUUAUUGUAAAAUUUUUAAAACAAUUAUCAGCGCGUAGCGCGGAAAAACGAUCUAGUAACAAUACUAAAAUGAAGAUAUCAAGUCCUCUAAGUGCAUCCACGUCAGCUGAAAAAAUCAGCCAGUAAUAUUGCAACAAUCAUCCACGUCAUCUUCGAUUUAUUUUGUUUUGGGCUUCGUUUGUUUUCGGCCUGUUUGUUCUCUCCUCUUAGAGUGUACACGUAAGCAGUUUUCUAUUUAGUGGGUCCCACCAUUUUCAAUAAACUUCCGAAACCUUAAAAAAUCGUUUGCCAACUAUUUUUAGCCAUUAAGUUAUUCAUUCAGUGGGCCAUUCGUAACGCUUAUACGUUUUAUUCAAAAUAUAGCUGAGACCCAAGUUUAUUAAAACUCUUCUAUGGCCCCAAUAAGCGUUACGCAAAUCCUAGAAGCGGAGAGGUGAAAUUCGUCGAUUGCUAAUCUGCUAUGACUGAUGCCAUCAUUAAAAAAAACUAUUUAAUUGCCAAGGAGUGGAGGAUUGGAGUUAAUUCAGGCGGUAGAAGAAAAAGAAGUGAUACGAAUAUGAUAGCAAGUCAUGAAAGAUAUUAGGUGAUUGGCUCUUGCCCUAUUUUAAAGAUGGUUUAGGCUAUAGGAGAUUAAAACAGUGUAGGUCUUCAUCACAUCCAGAACAUUUAUUUAUAGGUCGAGCUUGUAUCUGUUAUAGAUGUGAAUCUGAAUAAAUGAGACGGAGUGGGAGGAGAGGUGAGUGGAGUUUAAUGAUUGAAUUAAAGCAAGAAUUUAAGAAAGGGAGAAACGUUCCAGAAAAUGUCAUUGGAGAAGAUGGCUAACGAUGAGUUACGCCGUCAAACUGUAGAAGAGCGUACAACUAAACCUAAACACAAGGCGAGCCAGAAAGAUGAAAGUAUUAAAGCCCAAUGAAUAAACCGAAAGCUCAGCUACUCCUCCGCAAGUUAGAAAUACAAAAAAAAAGCUCUCCGAAUUAGAAGCAAAAGGAAAAUGAAGAAACUCUUUCUCUGCUCGACACGUAUCGCAAAAUGGUGGUAUGAGGGAUGACGUGGCGCAUUGUGGAGAGUUUCUCUUCUACUUUAUUAUUCAUGGUCUCUGUCCUGUUCUGUAAGGAAAAAAAAGAACAUGUUGAACACUAAACCUGAGCAGAACACAACAAAAACAAACAAUUAAAGGUUUUAACUAAGAAACAUUAUUCGUACAUAUACAGAGAACUCUCGAAUUGUUUCUUAAAUCUCUCAAAGACUUUUAAUCUCAAGGUAAGACAUCUAUGGAGUCAACGAAAAUGGGUACAUAAACUACAUAAAAGGAUACAAAGAUUCAACCUUUCUGGAUUUCUAGAGUUGUCGAACCCGAAGCAAACGUAAGAGGAACGAUCUCCACCAUGUCAGAAUCCUUCGAAGAUCUUCCUUAAUAUUGAUUCUUUAUGCUUCGCAAAAAAAAAAUUGAUUCAAAGAUGUAGAUGGUCUGGAGAGGAGGAAAGCAUACCUUUUUAUACCUGUAGAAACACCACCUAUCAGAAGAUUAACACACAUUGAAGUGUAAAUCGUGGCUAAAGGAGUUAAGAACAUGCUUAGUGCGAUGGAUCUGGAAGAAUUUGUUUCGAUUGAUGGAAAAAGGUGUAAGGACGUGAUCAAAACCCUCAACGAACCGAAUCGUCACGCCAAUUUAAGCAAAUUCGUCUCCUUUAGAUCGAAGAAUCAGAAAACCCUAGAAAUGGAUCGCAUCGCUCAGAGAACGGUAGUUCUGCGGCCACUGGAACUGAAGAACGGGACGCGUGACAUGCCAAAAACAAAGCCCAUAAACAUUCAUACAGCUUUAAUUGAAACGGUACGUUUUCGGUGAAGGGGGCAGGUGUCGCGCUGUGGGCAUCCGAAUUGAUGACGUGACACCCUGAUGACGGUCACCUCCGUCACGCCUUUACAGUUCAUCACCGGUAAUCUGUUUGGCCACAUCUGAGCGCGUCCACGUCAGCUGAAAAAAUCAGCCAGUAAUAUUGCAACAAUCAUCCACGUCAUCUUCGAUUUAUUUUGUUUUGGGCUUCCUUUAUUUUCGGCCUGUUUGUUCUCUCCUCUUAGAGUGUACACGUAAGCAGUUUUCUAUUUAGUGGGUCCCACCAUUUUCAAUAAACUUCCGAGACCUUAAAAAAUCGUUUGCCAACUAUUUUUAGCCCAUUAAGUUAUUCAUUCAGUGGGCCAUUCGUAACGCUUAUACGUUUUAUUCAAAAUAUAGUUGAGACCCAAGUUUAUUAAAACUCUUCUAUGGCCCCAAUAAGUCUCUAAGUCGCCUAAUCUUCAUCUUCAUCUUAGAUCUAGGUUUCUGUAUUAUAGCGACUCACCUCACAUACAUAUCCCUUUCCACUUCCUCCACUAAAUUCAUGAACUCUUCAUCUUCUUCUGUCUCUACAUCUUCCAGUCUUAACUCAGACUCUCAUUAAUGGUGGUUUUCAUAACCGACUCGAAGUUCCUCUUAUAUAUAGUUCAUGUUACACGCCGGAGACUAAUAUCUCAUAUCUACUCUCAUCCUCUUUGAACCAGCGUAGAUUUCAUUUAACCCUCGAGAAUGUCUUCCUCUGCUACUAAUUUUGCUCAAUCAGCCAUCCUUCGAGGCUCUCUGACUUGGUCGGACUUCUCCGCUUCUAGGAUUUGCGUAAUGGUUAAUUUGUGGCUCGGCUCCGUAUUGACAUAGUUGAAGCUUUCCUUAUAUGAGGAGAAGAACCAACACUCCAUCACCACGAUGGGGUUAUUGGAGGAGGCGUAAAUCCAAGCCCUAAAUGAGGUAGCUAUGGAGUCCCUAGCCAGGACUUCUCGACAAGAGUUUUGGUUUGCAAUCUACGCCAUGAAUCAUGGCCCAUGAUUGCAGGUUUAUAUAUUUGACCUAUUUUUAAUUUGCUUCAGCCAUUUUCUAUUUUCUUUAGGAAGACAUUACUUUUUGGAUAUCUCUUAAGCAUAGUCAAGCAAGAGGUUCUCUUAUAAUAUGUAGACAGAUUUUCAGAAAGUUGAUAAAUGUCUCAGACUUCUCUCCCUA
Brassica napus (rape) is the source of this 4155-nucleotide long non-coding RNA. RefSeq lists it as uncharacterized. The record is from RefSeq and is a predicted model, not a curated record. The transcript has 2 exons. Lineage: Eukaryota; Viridiplantae; Streptophyta; Magnoliopsida; Brassicales; Brassicaceae.